UCCCGGUUAACCCGGGCAGUCUCAUUAGAGUUCCCACCUUCACGUGUUGGCAACUAAUGAUAAGGGUUGCGCUCGUUGCGGGACUUAACCCAACACCUCACGGCACGAGCUGACGACAGCCAUGCAGCACCUGUGCACCGGCCCCGAAGGGAAACGACAUUUCUGCCGUCGUCCGGUGCAUGUCAAGCCUGGGUAAGGUUCUUCGCGUUGCAUCGAAUUAAACCACAUGCUCCACUGCUUGUGCGGGUCCCCGUCAAUUCUUUUGAGUUUCAGCCUUGCGACUGUACUCCCCAGGCGGUAUACUUAUCGCGUUAGCUACGGCACAGCCGGGGUUGAGACCAGCUACACCAAGUAUACAUCGUUUACGGCAAGGACUAC
This 378-nucleotide unclassified non-coding RNA is filed under the name uncultured Parachlamydiaceae bacterium. RNAcentral describes it as "contains 16S-23S intergenic spacer region". Lineage: Bacteria; Pseudomonadati; Chlamydiota; Chlamydiia; Parachlamydiales; Parachlamydiaceae. The record is from RNAcentral.